RNAcentral lists this long non-coding RNA (1283 nucleotides) under Jatropha curcas. RNAcentral's name for it is "long non-coding RNA (JCUR_LNC000854)". The record is from RNAcentral. Lineage: Eukaryota; Viridiplantae; Streptophyta; Magnoliopsida; Malpighiales; Euphorbiaceae.
AGCAAUAUUAAGGUAAACAUACUUCAUGUAAAAGCAAUUGCGAAUUUUAUAUUUUAGAAAAAAAAUAACAUAAAGAAAAUCGAAAAUGAAGAUCUAGAGAUUGCAGAGGAUGGAGGCCCAAACAGAAACAGAAAAAAAUGGUAGAAAGAGAAGGCUCAGAUCAGGUAUGCCUUCAAAUCGGACAGGACAGAAACACCACAACCCCAAGGCUGCAAAAACCAAAGGUUGCCCCGCCAAGAAAUUGAGUAUUUCUCCUCGAGUACGACUUUUCAGGCUCACUGAAUAUAUCGUCAUAGCCUUGCCAGUCGACAGACAGCCACUCACACACACAAGAACGAAAGCAGAUAUAUUGGUAUAAGGGCUGUUGCCAACACAUGGUCCGUAAUGAGUAGUCACCGGCUCCGCUAUCGAUCAGAGAGGACAGAGUCAACCACCCUGAAACCAACCCCCCUCCUCACUGAGAGCAAAGCCUCUUACCUAAACCAUUCACACAGCAAUAUUAAGGUAAACAUAUUUCAUGUAAAAGCAAUUGCGAAUUUUAUAUUUUAGAAAACAAAUAUCAUAAAGAAAAUCGAAAAUGAAGAGCGAGAGAUUGCAGAGGAUGGAGGCCCAGACAGAAACAGAAAAAAAUAGGUAGAAAGAGAAGGCUCAGAUCAGAUAUGCCUUCAAAUCGGACAGGACAAAAACACCUCAACCCCAGGGCUGCAACAAAAAAAAGGUUGCCUCUCCAAAAAAUUGAGUAUUUCUCCCCCAGUCUGACUUUUCAGGCUCACUGAAUAAAUCGCCAUAGCCUCGNNNNNNNNNNNNACACACAAGAAAGAAAACAGAUAUAUUGGUAUAAGGGCUGUUGCCAACACAAGAUCCGUAAUGAGUAGUCACCGGCUCUGCUACCGAUCAGAGAGGACAGAGUAAACCACCCUGAAACCAACCCCCCCCCUCACUGAGAGCAAAGCCUCAUACCUAAACCAUUCACACAGCAAUAUUAAGGUAAACAUAUUUCAUAAAAAAGCAAUUGCGAAUUUUAUAUUUUAGAAAAAAAAAUAACAUAAAGAAAAUCGAAAAUGAAGAGCUAGAGAUUGAAGAGGAUGGAGGCCCAAACAGAAACAGAAAAAAACGGUAGAAAGAGAAGGCUCAGAUCAGGUAUGCCUUCAAAUCGGACAGGACAGAUACACCACAACCCCAGGGCUGCAAAAACCAAAGGUUGCCCCGCCAAGAAAUUGAGUAUUUCUCCUCCAGUCUGACUUUUUAGGCUCACUGAAUAUAUCGUCAUAGCCUCGCCAGUC